Molecule: ribosomal RNA, 253 nt
Filed under: uncultured bacterium
Lineage: Bacteria
Description: partial 16S ribosomal RNA
Rfam family: Bacterial small subunit ribosomal RNA
Source: RNAcentral
UACGAAGGGGGCUAGCGUUGCUCGGAAUCACUGGGCGUAAAGCGCACGUAGGCGGCUUCUUAAGUCAGGGGUGAAAUCCUGGAGCUCAACUCCAGAACUGCCCUUGAUACUGAGGAGCUUGAGUCCGGGAGAGGUGAGUGGAACUGCGAGUGUAGAGGUGAAAUUCGUAGAUAUUCGCAAGAACACCAGUGGCGAAGGCGGCUCACUGGCCCGGUACUGACGCUGAGGUGCGAAAGCGUGGGUAGCAAACAGG